UACGAAGGGGGCUAGCGUUGUUCGGAAUUACUGGGCGUAAAGGGCGCGUAGGCGGCGUGUCAAGUCAGGCGUGAAAGCCCCGGGCUCAACCUGGGAACCGCGCUUGAGACUGGCAUGCUCGAGUUCGGGAGAGGAUGGUGGAAUUCCCAGUGUAGAGGUGAAAUUCGUAGAUAUUGGGAAGAACACCGAUGGCGAAGGCAGCCAUCUGGACCGACACUGACGCUGAGGCGCGAAAGCGUGGGGAGCAAACA
This 251-nucleotide ribosomal RNA is filed under the name uncultured bacterium. RNAcentral's name for it is "partial 16S ribosomal RNA". It matches the Rfam family "Bacterial small subunit ribosomal RNA", at positions 524 to 774 of the family's 1533-position model. The record is from RNAcentral.